UGUUUAUGAUGGUCUCUACACUAUCUGGCCAUGGGUCUGUACACGAGGCGUUGGUGUAGUGAUGUCGACCCUAUAACUGUAGCCUACAGAUUGGGCAACACUAGGCCAGAAACAUUACUUUCCCUAUACACAUCGAACUGUCAGGGAGCAUGGUAGAUCGAUCGAGCGCUGUUGCUAGAAGAAUGAGCAAUGCUACAGUCCAGAAACGCUACUUACUUAAUCUCCUUUUGGACAUAGAACUGCCGAGGAGCAUGGUAGAGCGCAGUAGCUUAGCUAGAAUUCUUAACAUAUGAUUAUGUCUGCAAUCAGAUCUUAAUUGAUUGGGUCAAACAAGAUGGAUGGGAUACAUCUGCAUAGAUUAGCACGUGCACAUAUGUGCAGUACAUGAAUUUGAUACUCAAUUGUCACAACGAUAUGUGGCGACCAUCCUGACAUACAACGUAUGUUUGAAAUGGGUGAGUCAAGAUCGACACUAUACUUGGAGCAUGCUGGUCUUGGAGAGAGACAAAUGUCUUUUGAAGAUUUUGAUAACUAGCAGCGCAGAAUUUGGUGCCAGACUUACGAAGGAGCAUCCAAAGCUAGCAGAAGUUGGCAGCCUCGAGCUACUCAGGGUCUUGUGUGACCUUAGCUGAUGGAAUCACCUAUUGACGCGGGUACACUCCGUUGUUCCUGAGCAGAGCGGGUUGGUUGAGCCAGGGUCUUCAUAUGGCCAUUCUCUAGAUCACCGAGUGAACCAACAGAAGCACAACCAAAGGAGAUCGAAAUGCUGCUAUUGUGAGAUGCUGGUGCCAAUGUCACACUUUCGGGAGCAUCUACAGUUGUACGGGAUUGAUCACAGCAAUGAUGAUAACAUGUCUCUGUCACCUCUGCCAAUAUUUCUUGUUGAAAACUGCAACAUGUCAAAUGGUUCAUAUGUGUUAUUAGAUGGACAGUUUUUAACCUGUUGAGUAUAAGGUAUGCUCCACAGAAAGUGUACUUUAGGUGCACGUAUGAGGGUAUAAACACACGUUCAUGUAUUGACAGAUAUAUGCAUUCGUUGGUCUGUCAAUCUGCAGUUGAGUGAGACCUUUAAUUCUAGCCAUUUUGGUGCAGGUGAUCUACAAUGAUAUGUUGGUGAGCAUGUCUGAGACGUACAGAUUUGUUCCCUAAUAGAAACAGCAAAUAUACAUGUCAUCCUUUUUGAAAUCCAUUAAUUAAUUAAAUCUUAUCGCGAUAGUUACCUCAGAG
Corticium candelabrum is the source of this 1227-nucleotide long non-coding RNA. RefSeq lists it as uncharacterized. Lineage: Eukaryota; Metazoa; Porifera; Homoscleromorpha; Homosclerophorida; Plakinidae. The transcript has 6 exons. The record is from RefSeq and is a predicted model, not a curated record.